RNAcentral lists this ribosomal RNA (440 nucleotides) under uncultured bacterium. RNAcentral's name for it is "bacterial SSU rRNA". It matches the Rfam family "Bacterial small subunit ribosomal RNA", at positions 338 to 794 of the family's 1533-position model. The record is from RNAcentral.
CCUACGGGAGGCAGCAGUAGGGAAUUUUCCACAAUGGGCGAAAGCCUGAUGGAGCAACGCCGCGUGCAGGAUGAAGGCCUUCGGGUCGUAAACUGCUUUUAUUUGUGACGAUUAUGACAGUAGCAAAUGAAUAAGGAUCGGCUAACUACGUGCCAGCAGCCGCGGUCAUACGUAGGAUCCGAGCGUUAUCCGGAAUUACUGGGCGUAAAGAGUUGCGUAGGUGGUUUGUUAAGCGAGCAGUGAAAUCUUGGGGCUCAACCUCAAGGCUAUUGCUUGAACUGGCAGACUAGAGUUCGAUAGAGGUCACUGGAAUUCCAAGUGUAGGAGUGAAAUCCGUAGAUAUUUGGAGGAACACCGAUGGCGUAGGCAGGUGACUGGAUCGACACUGACACUGAGGCACGAAAGCGUGGGGAGCAAACGGGAUUAGAUACCCUGGUAGU